This 484-nucleotide ribosomal RNA is filed under the name uncultured bacterium. RNAcentral describes it as "partial 16S ribosomal RNA". It matches the Rfam family "Bacterial small subunit ribosomal RNA", at positions 28 to 506 of the family's 1533-position model. The record is from RNAcentral.
GAUGAACGCUGGCGGCGUGCUUAACACAUGCAAGUCGAACGGGAUCCAAGGGGUGCUUGCACUUUUUGGUGAGAGUGGCGAACGGGUGAGUAACACGUGAGUAACCUGUCCUUUUCUUUGGGAUAAGCAUUCGAAAGGGUGUUUAAUACCUUAUGUUCUGUCCGCCUCGCAUGGGGUGGGUGGGAAAGGCUUUGGCCGGAUUUGGGUGGGCUCGCGGUCUAUCAGCUUGUUGGUGGGGUGAUGGCUUACCAAGGCUUUGACGGGUAGCCGGCCUGGGAGGGUGGUGGGCAAAAUGUGGGUUGGGAUCCGGCCCGGACCCCGGCGGGGGGCAGCGGGGGGGAGUUUUGCAAAAUGGGGAAAAGCUUGUUGCAGGGAGGCCGGGGGGGGGAUGAGGGCUUUGGGUUUGUAACCUUCUUUUUCUCUGAACAAGGCAUGCCGGGGGGUGUGUUGACGGUAGGGGUUGAUUAGCGCCGCCUAACUACGU